UGCAGCUACGGCGUAGGCAGGCAGGAGAGCCACCAGGAGCGUGCUGGUGACGACGGUGGAAGACGUAUCUGUCCGAGGAUUUCGAGCUGGGGAUGGCCUUGCCACUUCCGUAACCUCGGCCGGCGGCUCAGUAGCUGAAGACUCUAAAUUGCCGGGAGUGAAUCAAGCACAACUUGACAGACUGCAGCGCCAGGCGCAUUCCUAUGCAGUUCCUUGGCCCAGCUCCGAAAGGAAGGUUGCGCCGGGAACGACUUCACUGCUGCCCUUCUUCAGCAGCACGGACCGCACCACAUGAACGAGGGCGGUGAUGUCAUGUGCCGCCCAUUCGCGUGGACCGAGCGCUUAGCGGUGCUGUUCGCGGACCAGCAGGUGUCAAAGGCUCCGGAUAUGUAUUUCAAGUCAAGGGCUCGAAAAUAUUUGCGAUCGCAGAAAAAUAAAGAGGCGGGUGGGGGGUUGAACUUUCUCGUUCUCCAGGACCAAGGACUCCAGGACUUCUCCAUAACAUGCUCCUUCUACGCAUGUAUCAC
Non-coding RNA from Dermacentor albipictus, 527 nucleotides. The record is from RefSeq and is a predicted model, not a curated record. Lineage: Eukaryota; Metazoa; Arthropoda; Arachnida; Ixodida; Ixodidae.